Molecule: ribosomal RNA, 492 nt
Filed under: uncultured bacterium
Lineage: Bacteria
Description: partial 16S ribosomal RNA
Rfam family: Bacterial small subunit ribosomal RNA
Source: RNAcentral
AGUGAACGCUGACGGUAGGCCUAACACAUGCAAGUCGAACGGCAGCACAGUAAGAGCUUGCUCUUACGGGUGGCGAGUGGCGGACGGGUGAGGAAUACAUCGCAAUCUACUUUUUCGUGGGGGAUAACGUAGGGAAACUUACGCUAAUACCGCAUACGACCUACGGGUGAAAGCAGGGGAUCUUCGGACCUUGCGCGAUUGAAUGAGCCGAUGUCGGAUUAGCUAGUUGGCGGGGUAAAGGCCCACCAAGGCGACGAUCCGUAGCUGGUCUGAGAGGAUGAUCAGCCACACUGGAACUGAGACACGGUCCAGACUCCUACGGGAGGCAGCAGUGGGGAAUAUUGGACAAUGGGCGCAAGCCUGAUCCAGCCAUACCGCGUGGGUGAAGAAGGCCUUCGGGUUGUAAAGCCCUUUUGUUGGGAAAGAAAAGCAGCAGGUUAAUACCCCGCUGUUCUGACGGUACCCAAAGAAUAAGCACCGGCUAACUUCGUG